This 343-nucleotide ribosomal RNA is filed under the name Bacillus sp. RCP-JP-TW. Its description in RNAcentral is "partial 16S rRNA". The record is from RNAcentral. Lineage: Bacteria; Bacillati; Bacillota; Bacilli; Caryophanales; Bacillaceae.
CCUUGCGAGCUCAAAAAAGGUGUUCCAGCCCUGGGGCCGGGUAAAAACUUAAUUUUCCCCAAGGAGGAAAAGGGUGUUUUGGGCGGGGGCCCCCUUCAAAAUAUUAAUUCUCCCAAAAAAAAAAAAAGUUUUUUGGGGGGGGGCGUAGAUAAAAUUUUUAAUCCCCCUGGCCCCCCAAAAAGUUUGUCGCCCCCGGGAAACAAAAAAUUAAUACACCUCUGGCAAUUAAAGAUUUUCCUCGCGCGGCCCCCCCUCAACAUUUUCCUCACCCCUAGGAAAUAUCUUAUGCCUUCCACAAAAAUCAUUUAGCGGGAGCGCGACCCCCCCCCCCCCGUCCCAAGCA